AAUCAACGCUGGCGGCGUGCCUAACACAUGCCAGUCGAACGCGAAAGCCCCGCAAGGGGUAAGUAGAGUGGCAAACGGGUGAGUAACACGUGGGUGACCUGCCUUCGAGUGGGGGAUAACGUCCCGAAAGGGACGCUAAUACCGCAUGACAUCCUGCUUUUGAAAAAGCGGAGAUCAAAGCUGGGGAUCGCAAGACCUAGCGCUUGAAGAGGGGCCCGCGCCUGAUUAGCUAGUUGGUGAGGUAACGGCUCACCAAGGCGACGAUCAGUAUCCGGCCUGAGAGGGCGGACGGACACACUGGGACUGAGACACGGCCCAGUCUCCUACGGGAGGCAGCAGUGGGGAAUUGUUCGCAAUGGGCGCAAGCCUGACGACGCAACGCCGCGUGGAGGACGAAGAUCUUCGGGUCGUAAACUCCUGUCGAGCGGGACGAACGCUUCGCGGAUGAAUAAUCCGCGGAAUUGACGGUACCGCUAAAGGAAGCCCCGGCUAACUCCGUG
This 500-nucleotide ribosomal RNA is filed under the name uncultured bacterium. RNAcentral's name for it is "partial 16S ribosomal RNA". It matches the Rfam family "Bacterial small subunit ribosomal RNA", at positions 32 to 507 of the family's 1533-position model. The record is from RNAcentral.